AGUGAACGCUGGCGGUAGGCCUAACACAUGCAAGUCGAACGGCAGCACAGUAAGAGCUUGCUCUUACGGGUGGCGAGUGGCGGACGGGUGAGGAAUACAUCGGAAUCUACUUUUUCGUGGGGGAUAACGUAGGGAAACUUACGCUAAUACCGCAUACGACCUACGGGUGAAAGCAAGGGAUCUUCGGACCUUGCGCGAUUGAAUGAGCCGAUGUCGGAUUAGCUAGUUGGCGGGGUAAAGGCCCACCAAGGCGACGAUCCGUAGCUGGUCUGAGAGGAUGGUCAGCCACACUGGAACUGAGACACGGUCCAGACUCCUACGGGAGGCAGCAGUGGGGAAUAUUGGACAAUGGGCGCAAGCCUGAUCCAGCCAUACCGCGUGGGUGAAGAAGGCCUUCGGGUUGUAAAGCCCUUUUGUUGGGAAAGAAAAGCAGCAGGUUAAUACCCCGCUGUUCUGACGGUACCCAAAGAAUAAGCACCGGCUAACUUCGUG
Molecule: ribosomal RNA, 492 nt
Filed under: uncultured bacterium
Lineage: Bacteria
Description: partial 16S ribosomal RNA
Rfam family: Bacterial small subunit ribosomal RNA
Source: RNAcentral